Molecule: ribosomal RNA, 459 nt
Filed under: uncultured bacterium
Lineage: Bacteria
Description: partial 16S ribosomal RNA
Rfam family: Bacterial small subunit ribosomal RNA
Source: RNAcentral
CCUACGGGUGGCAGCAGUGAGGAAUAUUGGUCAAUGGGAGCGAUCCUGAACCAGCCAAGUCGCGUGAGGGAAGACGGCCCUAUGGGUUGUAAACCUCUUUUGUCGGAGAGCAAAAGACGCGACGUGUCCCGGACUGCGAGUACCCGAAGAAAAAGCAUCGGCUAACUCCGUGCCAGCAGCCGCGGUAAUACGGAGGAUGCGAGCGUUAUCCGGAUUUAUUGGGUUUAAAGGGUGCGCAGGCGGUAGGUUAAGUCAGCGGUAAAAUUGAGGGGCUCAACCCCGUCGAGCCGUUGAAACUGGUUGACUUGAGUGAGCGAGAAGUAUGCGGAAUGCGUGGUGUAGCGGUGAAAUGCAUAGAUAUCGCGCAGAACUCCGAUUGCGAAGGCAGCGUACCGGCGCCAGACUGACGCUGAGGCACGAAAGCGUGGGGAUCGAACAGGAUUAGAUACCCUGGUAGUC